Molecule: small RNA, 2000 nt
Filed under: Pongo abelii (Sumatran orangutan)
Lineage: Eukaryota; Metazoa; Chordata; Mammalia; Primates; Hominidae
Description: retained intron
Source: RNAcentral
UGAGAUGGACAAAUUGGAAAAGGCCAAAAAGGAGCGAACGAAAGUAAGUGAUGGCAGACCUCCUAGAUGAAAAAGGCAGGUGUGGAGUGCAUGGGUCCUGCUGGCUGAGCCCAGAAGGUGUCCAGGCUGCCCCCAACCCUGGCCCUGUGUCAUCGCCCGGUGAUGCUCUGAGCCCCUCAGCAGGGCCUGUGCGCUGAGCAGACCUGGUGGGUUCACGGCGCUCGUCUGCUGCUUUUGCCCUCAGAGGCUUGUUUGCUACAUUGUGCCCCCCUUUCCUCCCCGCCAAUUGCAGAGCCUUGGGGGGCUUUGUCUGUUUUGGGUCAUGGGGGCCCUCUGUGGCCUGAAGGGAGGGAAAUAGUUCCCUGAGAGAGUGCCGGGCCCAGCUUGCUCUGCGCGGUGAGUGUCUUGGCCUCCAGAGCUGCCCUCAGUGGCCUGCCUGGGUGCUACCUAUUAGGUCCCACGUUAGGGCCCUGAGCACCACUUGUUCCCCAGCAGUGUGGUCUGUGUUCUUCAGGGAGCAUCAGUUUGGCUGGGAGACCAAACUGUUAUCUCCGGGUGUUGUUCCCUUUGUGAACAGUCUCGGAGCCGGGCAUCAGGACACCAGCUCCUCCCACUUCUGGCUCGGCCUGACCAUCCUCAAGCAGCUGCGGCCUCCAGACCGCUUCCCUCACCCCAAGCAGAGGGGCUGUGGGGCCUGGGCAUGCCGGUGGCCCUCUGGAGGCGCUGGCUGCUGGGCCAGGAACAUGGGAACUGGUGCAAGGGGAUAAUCGGGGUUUCUCAUUCUUAACCCUUGAUUGAAUCUCCCUUCUCUCUCUUUCCCUCUCCCUUCCAAACCCCAGGCUUGUUGCAGGGACGUGUCUGCAGCGCCUGGGGACCGGAGCUGUCCUUCCCCUGUGCGGGCGGGCACCGCCUCCUCCUGGGUGUGAGGAGGAGGGGCCUGGCCAAACGGUUCUGGGCAUGUGAGGUGGGGCGGUGGGCGGGGGGUGCCGGGCAUGUGCAGAGACCUGGUGAUGCCGGGAGGGAUCCAGUACUGUUUGGAAAGUUCUUUUAAGAGUGAAAAGCCCCUUUGGGUUCUUCUUAGACACCUCGCCCUCCCCCAGAUGGUCAGAGCAGAGUUCAUUUCCAAUGCCUCUUUUGUGUAGUGCCAAGCUCCUGUCCCCCAGGAGCUGACGGAUGGCAAAAAGCUGUGGACACCCAGCUUUGCCUGGUCUUAUUCUCUUCCCUCUCCCUCUCCAGAUUGAGUUUGUGACGGGCACCAAGAAAGGCACCACGACCAACGCCACAUCCACCACCACUACCACUGCUAGCACAGCUGUUGCAGGUAGAUUGCAGAGCUGCCCUGCCUCCUGCCACACACAUGGAGCCAGGGUCUCCCUGGCUUGUUUGGGCAACAGACAACACGUGGAUCUGGGCCUGGGCUUAGCCUUGCUACUUUGAGAAGCAGCUUUGUAGUCUAGGGUGGGCCGCUUUGGGGUCUGCUCUCUAGGCUCCCGCCGGCCUGCAAGGGGAAGGGAAAGAGGGCACCGCUCAUUGGUGGAUCGUGAUCCUGACUUCUGCUUUAUCUCCAGAUGCUCAGAAGAGAAAGAGCAAGUGGGACUCGGCUAUCCCAGUGACAACGAUAGCCCAGCCCACCAUCCUCACCACCACGGCCACCCUGCCAGCUGUCGUCACGGUCACCACCAGCGCCAGCGGCUCCAAGACCACCGUCAUCUCUGCUGUGGGCACCAUUGUGAAGAAGGCCAAGCAGUGACCUGAGGGGCCACCCUAGGACUUGAAAGGACCGUGCCGCCCAGUGACCACUGCCCAGUGGGAGGCGCCACUUUGUAUAUUUCAGGACUGGGACCUGCUCCCCAGAUGCCACCUGAGAGGAGCUUCUGUGUGGCAUUCCAGAUGGAAGGACAGGCAGCGCGGGAGCCAGGCACUGUGGACAGGGUCUGUCCACGCACCACCUGGGGUCUGCCGCCUAUUAAAAGUGCCAUAUUCUUACCUCUUGGCAUUUC